Alligator mississippiensis (American alligator) is the source of this 1138-nucleotide long non-coding RNA. RefSeq lists it as uncharacterized. The transcript is spliced from 4 exons. Lineage: Eukaryota; Metazoa; Chordata; Crocodylia; Alligatoridae. The record is from RefSeq and is a predicted model, not a curated record.
CACCUCCGACUUCACUUCCUCCUCGGGCCCCUUCCUCCUCGGGCGGCGGGCCCCUCCUACUGAGCCCCACACCCCGCGCACCAAAGGGGGGGUCCAAUCAAUGCAGAUAGCAACUCCCGCAACAGGUUUGUAAGGUGCCCCAGGGACAUGGGCAGGCUGAGAGUGACCAAACAGCUGAAGGGUGGAUUGAGGCCAGUGGUGCCCAGGAGGGACCUACCAUCUACUGAACAAAUGAAUUCAGAAGAGAUGGAAAGAAAAGAAGUGUGGGAGAUCCCUAGAAGGAUUUCUUUUGAGUUUCCUGUUCCUGAUCUAGUUCUUCCAGAAAUCAAUCGGCCCACUCUGCUGUGUUUCCUGCAUGCUACAUCAUAAAGACUUAUCUCCUGCUUUGUUUUCCACUGGACAAGACUUGAAUUCCUCUGUUAUCAGAUGACCAUUUUGCAGCAUGGGUUUAAUGCUUAACUAAGCCUAACCCACACACAUUUUGAGUUCCAUUAGCUUGACAUAUCUAUUCUGUGAUGUGAUUGGAAAGUUCAAAUUUAUGCUUCAAAGACUGUUUGUAAAAAUGGUUCUGAAUAUAUUUUCAUUAACUUUGUGAGAAGCCCUUAAAGUAUUUUGUAAAAUGAUAUACUGUAAUGUACCUAGAAAGCAAAAGCAUGAGAAAAAUAGGUAAUCGGCUGAAUUAUGUUGGCUAAUAAAAUACUAGACAGCAUCCCACAUGCAGACCAACACACUGCAAAUUUAAAUGUAAUUACAGAGACUUUCCAAAGCCAUUAAAGUCAAAGGAAGGAUCCCCUUCAAAGUUUAACCUUGGUAAACUUUGUAUCACACCCAAAAUGCCUGUUUUUUAUGCUAACCACCCACCCAGCUUCAUCCUGGAUCCACAGUUGGUAUAAAUGAAUUCAUCUCUACUGGAACUCAAUUGAUUUGUAGCAGACAUGGACCCUAACCCUUUAUAUUUGUAAUGACAUAGGAAAAAGCCUUAUUUCAAAGCAUAUUUGUUUCCUCCUAACAAUUAUAAUGUGUCAUGUUCAUUGUUCAUUUUCACUGGAAAUGAUUAUUUCUUUUCUCCCAAAGAUUAAUGAUGGUCAAAGUUUCUGUAUCUGAAGAUGAUGCACUAAAGCUGGUAUUUCAAGAGACA